RNAcentral lists this unclassified non-coding RNA (353 nucleotides) under soil metagenome. RNAcentral describes it as "partial contains 5.8S ribosomal RNA, internal transcribed spacer 2, and large subunit ribosomal RNA". The stretch from base 1 to 120 matches the Rfam family "5.8S ribosomal RNA", at positions 35 to 154 of the family's 154-position model. The record is from RNAcentral.
GAUGAAGAACGUAGCGAAAUGCGAUAAGUAAUGUGAAUUGCAGAAUUCAGUGAAUCAUCGAAUCUUUGAACGCACAUUGCGCCCGCCAGUAUUCUGGCGGGCAUGCCUGUUCGAGCGUCAUUACAACCCUCAGCCCCCCGGGCCUGGCGUUGGGGAUCGGCGGAAGCCCCCUGCGGGCACAACGCCGUCCCCCAAAUACAGUGGCGGUCCCGCCGCAGCUUCCAUUGCGUAGUAGCUAACACCUCGCAACUGGAGAGCGGCGCGGCCACGCCGUAAAACACCCAACUUCUGAAUGUUGACCUCGAAUCAGGUAGGAAUACCCGCUGAACUUAAGCAUAUCAAUAAGCGGAGGA